AAGUCGUAACAAGGUAACCGUAGGUGAACCUGCGGUUGGAUCAUUAACAAAAUUACAACCUUUGAAUAUGGGGAAGGGGGGAGUGUAUACCCCCUCCUUCCACCGUAUUUCAAACCCCAAACCAUUUGCCAUGCUCAAUUUGUUUUGAGCAUGUGUGAACCUAUUUAUUAACACUUUAUAAUGGGUGUUAUAAGGGAGAUUGGCGGGUUAAAACGAUAGGAGAAGGGGUAGGAUGGGGAGGAGACUCCUCACUCAUACUACCCUUACCCUUUUGGAUUGCUCAUGUGAUCACUCGCCAACUUUCUCAUUAUAACAAUGCAUUAUAAGACUAUAUAAACUCUAUGUCAAUACAUAAUCGUCAAAACCUAUAUGUUACAUUCUUUACACGAAUGAAAUAACAACUUUUGGCAACGGAUCUCUAGGCUCUU
This 428-nucleotide unclassified non-coding RNA is filed under the name fungal sp. RNAcentral describes it as "partial internal transcribed spacer region". The stretch from base 1 to 46 matches the Rfam family "Eukaryotic small subunit ribosomal RNA", at positions 1786 to 1831 of the family's 1831-position model. Lineage: Eukaryota; Fungi. The record is from RNAcentral.